Molecule: ribosomal RNA, 253 nt
Filed under: uncultured bacterium
Lineage: Bacteria
Description: partial 16S ribosomal RNA
Rfam family: Bacterial small subunit ribosomal RNA
Source: RNAcentral
GACGGAGGGUGCAAGCGUUGUUCGGAUUGACUGGGCGUAAAGGGCGUGUAGGCGGUCGGUCAAGUCUGAUGUGAAAGCCCGGGGCUCAGCUCCGGAAGUGCAUCGGAAACUAGCCGGCUGGAGCGCGAUAGAGGAGGGCGGAAUUCCUGGUGUAGCGGUGAAAUGCGUAGAUAUCAGGAGGAACACCGGCGGCGAAGGCGGCCCUCUGGAUCGUUGCUGACGCUGAGACGCGAAAGCGUGGGGAGCAAACAGG